Dermacentor albipictus is the source of this 5242-nucleotide non-coding RNA. The record is from RefSeq and is a predicted model, not a curated record. NCBI's taxonomy places the organism in Eukaryota, Metazoa, Arthropoda, Arachnida, Ixodida, Ixodidae.
CUGACAACGACCGCUGUCAUAUUAAUUUUCAUUUUUCGUUGCCGGGAUCAUGAUCCCCAUCUUCACAUUGCAUUAGUACAAAUAAUAAGAAAACUUUGACCACUAUUGUCACCACUUUGAUUAAAGUUCAGGUCCUUGCAAUAAUGUGCAUUUCAAUUUUAAUGAGCCCCUCACCCUAGGCAAAGCCGAAGCCUCCCUCCCCCUUCCCCCCCACACACACACCUAAAGUGCCAAUACCAGUGCUUUGUCACCCACAUCAUUUGAGGUUUCUUUUCACUUUCCUCGACUUUUUCCCUUGAAAUUUUACUGAGGCUAAUAGCUUACUGCAUCCUUGUUGGCGCGGACUUGAACGGCUUUUAAUUAAUAUUUUCGAUUAUUUCUGCAAAAAAGAAUAUUAAAUUAUGCGGUUUUAUGUGCCGAAACCACGAUCUCAUUGUGAGGCACCCCAUAGUGGGGGACUCUGGAAACUUGGACCACGGGGGGCUCUUUAACAUGUACCUAAAUCUAAGUACAUUGGUGUUUUCACAUUUCGCCCCCAUCGAAAUGCGGCCGUCGUGGCCGGGAUUAGAUGUGGCAAUCUCGAGCUUAGCAGCCCAACACCAUAGCCACAAAGCAACCACGGCGGGUCACUUUAUUUCUUCAAAUCCUGACAAUAGGGGGACACGCCCAUCAGAAGCACUCGCGGUGGCUGCCUUAUCCAUACUUUCUCACUUCAACAUUAUUUUAAAGUUCCACUGUAAACACCAUGCACAUAUGCAAUAUAUUUAAAUAUAUACACAGGACAAAGUUUAUAAUAUUUUUGAAAGAGAUGGAGGCAGCCAAUUAAGAAUUAUUUCUAAAGGUAUGGAUAGCCUAUGUCUAGAGAAUGAAUAUGUUGUUGUAAGCUCACGACGCUUCAAAUUGUUUUGCAUGCUUUUUUGAUCAUUAAUGAAACCUAUAAACUUCACUGACCCCGUCAGCAGACUCUUUUAUCCACGGCGUAUGAAAUGCAUGUGAAUGUUGUGUGUCUCGGUGUUGCUUCUCUUUACAGUAAGCAAUGUCAACGACUCAUGAAAAAGAGAACAUUUCUAAUAACUUACAACAUUUAUUACGUAUGGGAACAUUGUCACUUACAUGCAAACGUAAAUAUAUACAGAGUGUCCCAAUUAAUUAUAAUGCACCAAGAUUUAAAAAGAGAGCAAUGCGUUACUCGAAGAAAACCUAGCGCAUAUUGUUUGCAGUACAUUGCAGUAGCUGCCAGUAAUUUUUUCGUUCCAGAUUUAAUUUGGUCAUUUAAUUAGUUAUCUAAGCCGACAUGUACUAUCCUAAUUAUCAAAUGAUAAAUGAGGCAUCUAAAGGCACAGCCAAGGGACAUCUAACUGCGAUAUUUUCAGCGACGUACUAAUUGUGUACUAAUUUUUUAUGAUAGAUAAAUAAACCCUGUGAAAUAUGGAGAAUACCACAUGACUGUGCUCCCACUCGCAUCAUAAAGCAGCGCCCUCGAACAUGCUCCCUCUGAGUAAUCCAGGACGAAAUAAAGGAAAUAAAGAAAAACAUUGUGAUCGACCUAAUGCCUUAUCUGCCGUAUUCCUGCCGAAGUAACACGUCUCGUUUGGUGUUACCUGGAAAAUAGUUGUGAUAGCUGUUGUUUUAGCGUAGAUAAAGUGCACGGAUGUUUUUUUUUUUUUUUUUUUGCUACAGACCUGUCUCCACAAAAGUGAAUUGACGUCAGUGCAAAGAUUUAAAGGAACUUGCAUGGCUUGUGUACAGGAUACAACAUUUCCUGGGAGUGUUCUCAGCCUAGGUUGUGAAAGACUGCUUUAAACUCAUGGGGACAACUGAGAGUGACAAGAGGCAUUAUUUUGUUGAGACUUUUAAAUCAUCAUGAUGUCGAUGGCACUGUCCACAAAACUAUCACCACUGGAUUGCCCCUCUUCAGCGGGCAAGACAGCAGCAGCACCAAUAGAGAUCGUGCUGUCGAGGACCAGAUUCGUCGACGCAGGGUCUGAGCAUGCACUGCAUCAGGCCUAUCUACUGCUACCUCUGGCUGUCUGCCCUGCUGGCUUCAUCGGACGAAACAAGUCGCAGGAAGCUGUACCACGUGCACUGCACUGGGACCACCUGACCAGCACGGUGACGUCGACGGAGACACCAUGGCACCCGGAUAAAAGCAGCAGCCUUUUCGACGUUACCUUCAGUGGACUUAGAAGCACUGAACGAGUACGGAUGCUGAUCAAAUUUUUUCUGAUCGCACAGAGUUCAUCACAUGUGCAUGUGCAACACAUUGGCGGAGGCAAUAAGAACUGCAUUUCUCUCUAGCUGGACAAGUCGGAAUGGCAAUGCACCUUGGAGAACAAGACUCGAAUUGUGAAAGUCUGGUGGUAAGUCUGAAGUAAUAUAUUUUCAUUUAUAUUUGGUGUUAACUUUCCAGCGCAAACUUUCUAUCCUAUUGAAGAAACAUUUAGCCCCCUGUUUGGCCUGUUUUUUGAGGGCCUUACAUCAGGCCCCCUAGCAAGUUUUAUAGCGUCCUCGAUCACCUUGCCCCGGGGUUGCGCUGAAACCAGAAUGGUGCGCCUUGCACUGCCGUGGUGGCGCACUGCGGAGGGUCAACAUCGAGGACAAAACUGUACCCAUUGCAGGGUGCUUGCAUGCAGCGCUAUUUUGCCCCUGGCGCGCAAGACGUGCGUGAACGCGCGCGCGCACGCACAUUUUGUUGUUUGCAGGUGCUGAGCAUCUGCGGCAAGCGCUCAAACCUUGUCAAACUGCAUGCUCCGACAUACCUGGUUGCAAGCAAACACCAAUGGAUCUUAUAAAUAAUCCUGGCGACCCUUUCAACGAACCUGUCCACUUUCGGCCGCUCUUCACCACAUUGUUUUUGGACGAGGUCGAUAAGCAUGCCGUCUUCGCUGUCAGAAGAACUUGAAAAAAGCUCAUCGAUUGCGGCAAUUAGCAGCGCUUCCUUUCUCAUUGCCGACAUCUCCACUGGCUAACUCCGUCAACUCCAUUGCAACCGCAGAUAUCAGGCCAGAGCAUCCACGUUUCUGCAGUCGGCAGUGCGCGCGCGCGUCCCGCAGUGCUUGCUGGGAUUGCACCCUGGCGCACCGCCGAUUUUCUCGGUGCGAGACGGGGCAAUGGAAAACCGCUCCAACAGGGUGCGCUUCCGGUGAUCGAGGAUGGUCGGUGCGGUUGAUUGAGGAUUAAAGUGCGCAGCAAGGCGCCCCGGUGCGAGUGAUCGAGGACGCAAUUAGUUUACACUGCAAUUUAAAGCUUCUUGAGACCCGAAUACAGCCAUGGGACAUAAUUACUUUUCAAGCUGGUUAUUAUUGCCUCCAGGCAUGUUUCGAACAUGAAAGAUGUUUUUUAAUAACAUAGUUUUAAAUAACUGGCAUCUUUUUUAAAUAUCACAGUCAUACGUAGACAGGCUAAGAGCUGCAUCUCCAAGUAAACAUCUCAUGCUCGCUAUGGUAAAAACUGCAUUUCAUUGCCUGGACGCAGAGGUGAAGAUGGAGUUAUGUGUAGUAGACUGUUACUUGGCUGCUGCAUCCUGGAUUUUCAUGCAUUAAUGAGGAAUUCAAAACAGACUUCAAGGUUGCUUCCUGCUGUUUGUGACAAUGCAGAGGUCUACAUCAAUUUAGUGUGAAAUUUCUUGAAAGUAGAUGAGAAGAAUAUGAGUGAACCACUUUCGACAGUUCCACAUGCAUUGGACUUCAUAUCCACGAUGAAUGUUUGGAGUAACGACUUCAGACUUCUGGCAUUUCUUUACAGAAAUAAUCUUUUAAACUGGUUUAUUAUUAGAGGAGACAGCAGAAAUUGAAUGCCCUCUUACCACACCACCAUGAGGUGAGUGUGACUGCCAACAGAGAGACACUCUGCCUCGAGUAGCCUCCGCGAGCGACGUUCCUUCCUCGCCUUAUCACAUACUUGAGCCGAAGAACCACAUCGGGUUCACGUGACUAGCACCACCCGCUUUUUUUUUUCUUAUCCGGUUUUGUUGCAUGGCACAUUUUCCACCGUGGCAUUGCGCAUUCUGAAUUGGGCGAUUUACCUAAGUAAUGCGUCAUGGCGAGCGACACUUUUAAGACUCUAUUUUGUUUGUGUUGCCUUGACUCUGGCUGGGUGUGGCGCUUUCUCGAGAGGGAGGAAAGUGGUGUUUCAUUUGAAAUUUCAGCGGUCUGUAUGACAUGCACAGAUUUGUCAUGAAUACCUGUGUCAUGUGCUGUAAACUUAAGAACAGCAUUAAAUACAUUCUCUUAGUGGUGAAUGCAACGCAUACUUAUCUUUUGCGCACAAAGAAAAUGUGAACAGUGUACAGUGCUCCCACUUCUGCGUCAGUCUGAUAAAAAGGCCAACAAAGAGUGAUACUGCACUAAAUCAAGUAUUUUGAAAUUGGGAGACAUACUAGGGAUGCUUCUGCAGCAGACAUGAUUGGCCAGAGAGGUUAACAAUGUACAGCUGCUUGCAGUGACCAAAUGCACAGCACCAUCAGUUUUGUGCCAUGCUAUAGUUCUAUCAAAACCGCCUAAAAUUCUUGCAGCUUUUUAGGAAAGGAUUAGUGGCACAUAACACUGUGCCUAUUUUUCCUGUUUUUUGAAUGUAUAUUUUGCUCCCACGUAGCUGAUGCGACUCAAAGGUUUAUAGUCCUGAAAGCUUGUUUGCUUUGUUAUGAAUGUUACCAGAAACUUACGUGUGCAAGCUUACCCCUGCCCACACUAACGCAGACCCAGUGAGUUUAUUUAAUAUGGAAAGCUAAAACAAUGUAGUGGCUGCACUAUUGUUAUGAAUCUGUCGUAAUGAUAGAUGUUGCUGAUUUUAUGAAGUGCUUGUUUUCAUCACUCAGGAUAUCACCCAAAAUGCUAGGAGGCAAAAAAAAAAUGUAUAUAAUGUUCACAAGAUAUGGUUGAGUAGAGGCUGGGUGGUGGCAGCCGAUUGAGGGAACGAGCUCGCCUGCGGAUCUUGCGACCACAAGAGGUUCAAGUAGAUUUUAUCGCAUUAAAGUGCAACAAGUGACUAGAAAAAAAAAAAAGCCUGGGCAUGUCAUCAAAAGAUACCGUUGGGAACAAAAGUCUAUGGAUCUACACGCACCAUGAAAUACCCAAAUUUCUUUUCUUACUUGCCAUGUUGGUGACACUGGUCCACAGUAAAGUUGCAGAAUGGGGCGGGCCCUCCAUUUCAUUCCUACUUGACAAAGUUGAGAUUUCUUAAUUCCACUCUUUAACUCCCCAGAAUGCCAAGAGUUGUACUAUUUCUCCAACUUUAAAUGAAA